UGCAGGUGGUUUGAGAGUUGCUUCUAGGGUUUGUUUUCUGUAUUUCAGCUGCCCUAACCGUGCCCGGGUAUUUUCUCUCCAUACAUCCUGAUUCUGAGGAGAAUAGGAUUGUUUCUUUAUCAGCAAACUUGGACUUUAUGAUCUUCAAUCACAGAGCGAAAGCACUUCCUUUAGAAACUGAUAUGAAGCUGAAGCAUUAAGAUCAAUGAAGCUUCAUGGUCCUUUGAUUAAGGAGAUUACGACUGUUGGCAGGUCUGUUGAACGUAAGAGUAGAGAGCCUAUGUCUCAGGUCAUUGUCAAUUGUUUUCUGAAGUGGUAAUGUUUUUUAACCUUUCAUUACUUGCUAGAAUAUGGCUUUUGGCUUUCUUGUUUACUUCUGUUACUUUGCCUGACAUACUGAACCCUAGUUUUUAGUUGGAAUCAUUAUAAGGGAUUCUACCUGGCCAGCAAUUCAAUAUAUUAUUCUUCUUUACAUUUUCUUC
Molecule: long non-coding RNA, 482 nt
Organism: Gossypium raimondii (Peruvian cotton)
Lineage: Eukaryota; Viridiplantae; Streptophyta; Magnoliopsida; Malvales; Malvaceae
Exons: 2
Source: RefSeq, a predicted model, not a curated record